Molecule: ribosomal RNA, 1238 nt
Filed under: metagenome
Description: SSU rRNA
Rfam family: Eukaryotic small subunit ribosomal RNA
Source: RNAcentral
AAUCCCUUAUCGAGGAUCAAUUGGAGGGCAAGUCUGGUGCCAGCAGCCGCGGUAAUUCCAGCUCCAAUAGCGUAUAUUAAAGUUGUUGCAGUUAAAAAGCUCGUAGUUGGAUUUGUGGUGUACGGUGUGUUCCGGGCACUUGUUGUCUGAGUAACUUGCCGUUGCCAUCCUUGGGUGGAACCUGUGUGGCAUUAGGCUGUCGUGCAGGGGAUGCCCAUCGUUUACUGUGAAAAAAUUAGAGUGUUCAAAGCAGGCUUAUGCCGUUGAAUAUAUUAGCAUGGAAUAAUGAGAUAGGACUUUUUCGCUAUUUUGUUGGUUUGCGCGAAGAGGUAAUGAUUAAUAGGGACAGUUGGGGGUAUUCGUAUUCCAUUGUCAGAGGUGAAAUUCUUGGAUUUUUGGAAGAUGAACUACUGCGAAAGCAUUUACCAAGGAUGUUUUCAUUAAUCAAGAACGAAAGUUAGGGGAUCGAAGAUGAUUAGAUACCAUCGUAGUCUUAACCAUAAACUAUGCCGACAAGGGAUUGGUGGAGUCUCGUUACGUCUCCAUCAGCACCUUAUGAGAAAUCACAAGUCUUUGGGUUCCGGGGGGAGUAUGGUCGCAAGGCUGAGACUUAAAGAAAUUGACGGAAGGGCACCACCGGGAGUGGAGCCUGCGGCUUAAUUUGACCCAACACGGGAAAACUUACCAGGUCCAGACAUAGUGAGGAUUGACAGAUUGAGAGCUCUUUCUUGAUUCUAUGGGUGGUGGUGCACGGCCGUUCUUAGUUGGUGGAGUGAUUUGUCAGGUUAAUUCCGUUAACGAACGAGACCACUGCCUGCUAAAUAGCCCAGUGAGUGAAUUUUCACUGACUGCUGGCUUCUUAGAGGGACAUGCAUUCUAUCAGAUGCAGGAGGAUAGUGGCUAUAACAGGUCUGUGAUGCCCUUAGAUGUCCUGGGCCGCACGCGCGCUACACUGAUGCAUUCAACGAGUUUAACCUUGGCCGAGAGGCCUGGGCAAUCUUUUAAACGUGCAUCGUGAUAGGGAUAGAUUAUUGCAAUUAUUAAUCUUGAACGAGGAAUUCCUAGUAAACGCAAAUCAUCAAUUUGCAUUGAUUACGUCCCUGCCCUUUGUACACACCGCCCGUCGCACCUACCGAUUGAAUGGUCCGGUGAAGCCUCGGGAUUGUGACCAGUUCACUUCAUUGUGAGUUGGUUGUGAGAACUUGUCUAAACCUUAUCAUUUAGAGGAAGGUGAAGUC